GACGAACCGUGCGAACGUUAUUCGGAAUCACUGGGCUUAAAGCGCGUGUAGGCGGAAGGGCACGUCCGUUGCUGAAAUCCCCCGGCUCAACCGGGGAUCGGGCGCGGAUACGACUCUUCUGGAGGGGCGUAGGGGGACCUGGAACUUCCGGUGGAGCGGUGAAAUGCGUUGAGAUCGGAAGGAACGCCCGUGGCGAAAGCGAGGUCCUGGACGCCUACUGACGCUGAGACGCGAAAGCCAGGGGAGCGAACGGG
This 254-nucleotide ribosomal RNA is filed under the name uncultured bacterium. RNAcentral's name for it is "partial 16S ribosomal RNA". It matches the Rfam family "Bacterial small subunit ribosomal RNA", at positions 524 to 776 of the family's 1533-position model. The record is from RNAcentral.